GUGCUCACUUCCUCAGCACAUAUACUAAAAUGGAACUAAAAAGAGAAGAUUAGCCUGGCCCCUGAGCAGGGAUGACAUGCAAAUUCGUGAAGCAUUCCAUAUUUUU
Psammomys obesus (fat sand rat) is the source of this 106-nucleotide small nuclear RNA. The record is from RefSeq and is a predicted model, not a curated record. NCBI's taxonomy places the organism in Eukaryota, Metazoa, Chordata, Mammalia, Rodentia, Muridae.